Molecule: ribosomal RNA, 869 nt
Filed under: uncultured bacterium
Lineage: Bacteria
Description: bacterial SSU rRNA
Rfam family: Bacterial small subunit ribosomal RNA
Source: RNAcentral
CCGCGGGAUUAGAGUUUGAUCCUGGCUCAGGGCGAACGCUGGCGGCACGCCUCAUACAUGCAAGUCGAGCGAUCGGUGGCUGGGUGCUUGCACUCGGCCAUACGGAGCGGCGAACGGGUGAGUAACACGUGGGCAAUCUGCCCCCGGGACGGGGAUAACGGCGGGAAACUGCCGCUAAUACCCGAUAUCCCCCUUGGAUCUCCUGAUCCGAGGGAGAAAUGGUUCUUCCGCCUGGGGAGGAGCCCGCGGCCUAUCAGCUUGUUGGUGGGGUAAUGGCCUACCAAGGCAAUGACGGGUAGCCGGCCUGAGAGGGCGUUCGGCCACACCGGGACUGAGACACGGCCCGGACUCCUACGGGAGGCAGCAGUAGGGAAUCUUGCACAAUGGGCGCAAGCCUGAUGCAGCGAUGCCGCGUGAGGGAUGAAGGCCUUCGGGUUGUAAACCUCUUUCGACAGGGAAGAAGCCACGGGUCACCGUGGUGACGGUACCUGUAGAAGAAGCCCCGGCUAACUACGUGCCAGCAGCCGCGGUAAAACGUAGGGGGCAAGCGUUGCCCGGAUUUACUGGGCGUAAAGCGGGUGUAGGCGGUCCUCUAAGUCAGAUGUGAAAUCCUACGGCUCAACCGUGGAACUGCAUCUGAUACUGGAGGACUUGAGGACGGUAGAGGUCGGUGGAAUUCCCGGUGUACCGGUGAAAUGGGCAGAUAUCGGGAGGAACACCAGUGGCGAAGGCGGCCGACUGGGCCGAUCCUGACGCUGAGACCCGAAAUAAAGGGUAGCGAACCGGAUUAGAUACCCGGGUAGUCCUGGCCGUAAACGGUGCGAACUAGGUGUGGGGGACCUUUGGUCUUCCGUGCCGAAGCUAACGCA